CUGCUUAAUUGCGUUUCAAAAUCUAAACCUGAGCGACAAGGUGCUGCUAUCGAAACUGUCUUUGAGUGUGAACUAUAAGUCUUUUGACUUAUGACCAUCACUCUAGACGUUUAUGUUUUGGUGUUGGCCCUUGAUGCUCAUUUGAACGCAACGGACGUGAUUGCAACCCCUUGUUGAGAUUUAUCCGAUCUCUACGUUCACUGAACCACACUCUUUAGCGAGAGCAGUGGGGAUGUGGAUAAACUCGGGGGACUGCUGACUAUAAACUUUUCUCAAACCAGAGGAAGGUUGCGGCAAUAACAGGUCUGUGAUGCAA
This 316-nucleotide ribosomal RNA is filed under the name Globigerinoides elongatus. RNAcentral's name for it is "SSU rRNA". Lineage: Eukaryota; Foraminifera; Rotaliida; Globigerinidae. The record is from RNAcentral.